UGGUGUGUACUGGCUUUACUGAUUCCUCCUUCUUGAAGAACUGUAAUGUCAUUAAUUUGGUGUUGCAGGGAAACAGGACUGUUACUUUGAAAAAAUUAGAGUGUUUAAAGCAGGCUUACGCUUGAAUACGUUAGCAUGGAAUAAUGAAAUAGGACGUUCGAUCCUAUUUUGUUGGUUUCUAGGAUUGACGUAAUGAUUAAUAGGGAUAGUUGGGGGCAUUAGUAUUCAAUUGUCAGAGGUGAAAUUCUUGGAUUUAUUGAAGACUAACUACUGCGAAAGCAUUUGCCAAGGAUGUUUUCAUUAAUCAAGAACGAAAGUUAGGGGAUCGAAGACGAUCAGAUACCGUCGUAGUCUUAACCAUAAACUAUGCCCGACUAGGGGAUCGGAUGAUGUUAAUUUUUUA
This 403-nucleotide ribosomal RNA is filed under the name uncultured Glomeromycotina. RNAcentral describes it as "SSU rRNA". It matches the Rfam family "Eukaryotic small subunit ribosomal RNA", at positions 671 to 1073 of the family's 1831-position model. Lineage: Eukaryota; Fungi; Glomeromycota. The record is from RNAcentral.